Molecule: ribosomal RNA, 453 nt
Filed under: uncultured Lactobacillales bacterium
Lineage: Bacteria; Bacillati; Bacillota; Bacilli; Lactobacillales
Description: bacterial SSU rRNA
Rfam family: Bacterial small subunit ribosomal RNA
Source: RNAcentral
GGACCCGCACAAGCGGUGGAGCAUGUGGUUUAAUUCGAAGCAACGCGAAGAACCUUACCAGGUCUUGACAUCCUUUGAAGUUAUUAGAGAUAGUAAUGUUCUCUUCGGAGACAAAGUGACAGGUGGUGCAUGGUCGUCGUCAGCUCGUGUCGUGAGAUGUUGGGUUAAGUCCCGCAACGAGCGCAACCCUUAUCGUUAGUUGCCAGCAUUAAGUUGGGCACUCUAGCGAGACUGCCGGUGACAAACCGGAGGAAGGUGGGGAUGACGUCAGAUCAUCAUGCCCCUUAUGACCUGGGCUACACACGUGCUACAAUGGCGUAUACAACGAGUUGCGAACCGGCGACGGCAAGCUAAUCUCUUAAAGUACGUCUCAGUUCGGAUUGCAGGCUGCAACUCGCCUGCAUGAAGUCGGAAUCGCUAGUAAUCGCGGAUCAGCACGCCGCGGUGAAUACG